Frieseomelitta varia is the source of this 1451-nucleotide long non-coding RNA. RefSeq lists it as uncharacterized. The transcript is spliced from 2 exons. NCBI's taxonomy places the organism in Eukaryota, Metazoa, Arthropoda, Insecta, Hymenoptera, Apidae. The record is from RefSeq and is a predicted model, not a curated record.
CCAGAUGUAGUCCCACCAGCCAGCUUGGGUUUAGGGGGCAGGCAGGGGGAGAUGGCCCCCUCCUCCCUCUACCCCUCGCCUACACGCCGAUACACAAGUUGCCGGUUGUAGGUUGUUUGCGGGUAUUCCACGGCUUCGUCCAUGUUCUAACGGGCCGUUAGAGAGCAAAAGCCUCCUACUCCACCCGCCCCACCAUCUUGGCCUACACGCUCGUAGGCAUCCACACGCCAGGCCACACCAAGUGCAACACCAGGCACCACCCGGGUUACCUGGUCACCUACGAUAUCCAACUCUCUCGUGUCCAGGCGUGGUGCACGACGACGUUUUAUAUACCAGAGAGCCAACAGUCGGCUAACGAAACCAAUCGAGAUCUGGUACUCGACGAGACGCUUCUUUCGCGAGAAUUGGAUGAGUCUUGCUCUUCUAGGUCGAAUAUCUAGGAGGAAUAGGAAUGAUUCGAUAGGAAGGACGAUAAUGGUAAUGAUUUUUGUGCAACGAAGGAAAGAAAGCGGCAGUUUGAAAUUGAUGUUUGGUUACAUGAUGCGUGUGAUGUUAUGAAUUCUUGGAGCAGAAGUUUGGAGCUUCUCCCUUUGCGAGAAAUGUUACAAUGUACAAUUAAAGUAUUAAUACCCUGGUAAUGUAAAUAAAAGAACACUAACUCUGCUCCAAAAUUUUAUGUUAAAUGUUUCUUUAUCGACAUUAACGCUAAUAACAUAUGUGUAUAUACCAAUUAGGUAAUUUUAAAUUGAUUUGUUCAUCGGAAAUAGUAACGACAAGAAAUUUUCGCACGAUGUAACCACAAAAUAAUAUUAAGAAGAAAGUUUCCAACGAGAACAUUAUUUGUAACGAUAAAUUGUACAUCUUCUAAAUUGUACAUUUCGUAUCACACUGAUAACAAUGCUCUAUUUCAUUAUUCUCAUUAAUAUAAUUUUGUGAAACGUUUUGCAAAGAUAUCAUACAUUUUCUUACCGCUUGUCUGUUAAGCUUUCUUUCAUUCAGUUACAUAAACAUCGAUCAGCUGAUCUCCAAGUUAUAACGCAAGCAUUUCUUAUUAUCGUAAUUCGAACGAACCACAAGCUAGGAACGUGCUCUGGAAAGCGAGCAGACAUCCCGUUAACAUAGUCGCAGGAAGUUUCGAUUGCAAAAGAUCGCGCAGAUUUAGCCCUGAAACGCGUGCAAUUUCUCACGAUCUCUUGUUCAAAGUAAAAGCACCAUGUUCUCACUUGGAGGAUCCUCUCGAAUCGAUUGAGGAGACAUUUCGCGAGAACGAUUGUCCUUCAUCACUUUCGAGCACUCGAGUGACUGUUAAGCAGAAAAUUUUUAUCAUUUGUUAGAUAGAUAGAUGGAGAACCAAAGAGAAAAUACCGAAGAGAUGGAAGAAAGUGGAAAAAGAAAACUGUAACGAAUCUGAGAAUAAUGAUGUGUCGAUUAAAAGUUACGUUUGUGGAAAA